UUAAGCGACUAAGCGUACACGGUGGAUGCCCUGGCAGUCAGAGGCGAUGAAGGACGUGCUAAUCUGCGAAAAGCGUCGGUAAGGUGAUAUGAACCGUUACAGCCGGCGAUGUCCGAAUGGGGAAACCCAGUGCAAUUGUUGCACUAUCGUUAACUGAAUACAUAGGUUAACGAGGCGAACCGGGGAACUGAAACAUCUAAGUACCCCGAGGAAAAGAAAUCAACCGAGAUUCCCCAGUAGCGGCGAGCGAACGGGAGCAGCCCAGAGUCUGAAUCAGCUUGUGUGUUAGUGGAACGGUCUGGAAAGUCCGACGGUACAGGGUGAUAGUCCCGUACACCAAAAUGCACAGGUUGUGAACUCGAAGAGUAGGGCGGGACACGUGGUAUCCUGUCUGAAUAUGGGGGACCAUCCUCCAAGGCUAAAUACCUGACUGACCGAUAGUGAACCAGUACCGUGAGGAAAGGCGAAAAGAACCCCGGCGAGGGAGUGAAAAGAACCUGAAACCGUGUACGUACAAGCAGUGGGAGCACCUUCGGGUGACUGCGUACCUUUGUAUAAUGGGUCAGCGACUUAUAUUCUGUAGCAAGGUUAACCGUAUAGGGAGCCGCAGGAAACCGAGUCUUAACUGGGCGUUAAGUUGCAGGGUAUAGACCCGAAACCCGUGAUCUAGCCAUGGGCAGGUUGAAGGUUGGGUAACACUAACUGGAGGACCGAACCGACUAAUGUUGAAAAUUAGCGGAUGACUUGUGGCUGGGGUGAAAGGCCAAUCAAACCGGAGAUAGCUGGUUCUCCCGAAAGCUAUUUAGGUAGCGCCUCGUGAACUCAUCUUCGGGGGUAGAGCACUGUUUCGGCUAGGGGGUCAUCCCGACUUACCAACCCGAUGCAAACUACGAAUACCGAAGAAUGUUAUCACGGGAGACACACGGCGGGUGCUAACGUCCGUCGUGAAGAGGGAAACAACCCAGACCGCCAGCUAAGGUCCCAAAGUCAUGGUUAAGUGGGAAACGAUGUGGGAAGGCACAGACAGCCAGGAUGUUGGCUUAGAAGCAGCCAUCAUUUAAAGAAAGCGUAAUAGCUCACUGGUCGAGUCGGCCUGCGCGGAAGAUGUAACGGGGCUAAACCAUGCACCGAAGCUGCGGCAGCGACACUAUGUGUUGUUGGGUAGGGGAGCGUUCUGUAAGCCUGCGAAGGUGUGCUGUGAGGCAUGCUGGAGGUAUCAGAAGUGCGAAUGCUGACAUAAGUAACGAUAAAGCGGGUGAAAAGCCCGCUCGCCGGAAGACCAAGGGUUCCUGUCCAACGUUAAUCGGGGCAGGGUGAGUCGACCCCUAAGGCGAGGCCGAAAGGCGUAGUCGAUGGGAAACAGGUUAAUAUUCCUGUACUUGGUGUUACUGCGAAGGGGGGACGGAGAAGGCUAUGUUAGCCGGGCGACGGUUGUCCCGGUUUAAGCAUGUAGGCUGGUUAUCCAGGCAAAUCCGGAUAAUCAAGGCUGAGGUGUGAUGACGAGGCACUACGGUGCUGAAGUAACAAAUGCCCUGCUUCCAGGAAAAGCCUCUAAGCAUCAGGUAACAUCAAAUCGUACCCCAAACCGACACAGGUGGUCAGGUAGAGAAUACCAAGGCGCUUGAGAGAACUCGGGUGAAGGAACUAGGCAAAAUGGUGCCGUAACUUCGGGAGAAGGCACGCUGGUGUGUAGGUGAAGUCCCUGCGGAUGGAGCUGAGACCAGUCGAAGAUACCAGCUGGCUGCAACUGUUUAUUAAAAACACAGCACUGUGCAAACACGAAAGUGGACGUAUACGGUGUGACGCCUGCCCGGUGCCGGAAGGUUAAUUGAUGGGGUUAUCCGUAAGGAGAAGCUCUUGAUCGAAGCCCCGGUAAACGGCGGCCGUAACUAUAACGGUCCUAAGGUAGCGAAAUUCCUUGUCGGGUAAGUUCCGACCUGCACGAAUGGCGUAAUGAUGGCCAGGCUGUCUCCACCCGAGACUCAGUGAAAUUGAACUCGCUGUGAAGAUGCAGUGUACCCGCGGCAAGACGGAAAGACCCCGUGAACCUUUACUAUAGCUUGACACUGAACAUUGAGCCUUGAUGUGUAGGAUAGGUGGGAGGCUUUGAAGCGUGGACGCCAGUCUGCGUGGAGCCAACCUUGAAAUACCACCCUUUAAUGUUUGAUGUUCUAACGUUGGCCCCUGACCGGGGUUGCGGACAGUGUCUGGUGGGUAGUUUGACUGGGGCGGUCUCCUCCCAAAGCGUAACGGAGGAGCACGAAGGUUAGCUAAUCCUGGUCGGACAUCAGGAGGUUAGUGCAAUGGCAUAAGCUAGCUUGACUGCGAGCGUGACGGCGCGAGCAGGUGCGAAAGCAGGUCAUAGUGAUCCGGUGGUUCUGAAUGGAAGGGCCAUCGCUCAACGGAUAAAAGGUACUCCGGGGAUAACAGGCUGAUACCGCCCAAGAGUUCAUAUCGACGGCGGUGUUUGGCACCUCGAUGUCGGCUCAUCACAUCCCGGGCUGAAGUAGGUCCCAAGGGUAUGGCUGUUCGCCAUUUAAAGUGGUACGCGAGCUGGGUUUAGAACGUCGUGAGACAGUUCGGUCCCUAUCUGCCGUGGGCGCUGGAGAAUUGAGGGGGGCUGCUCCUAGUACGAGAGGACCGGAGUGGACGCAUCACUGGUGUUCGGGUUGUCAUGCCAAUGGCACUGCCCGGUAGCUAAAUGCGGAAGAGAUAAGUGCUGAAAGCAUCUAAGCACGAAACUUGCCCGAGAUGAGUUCUCCUGAGACUAUAAGUCUCCUGAAGGAACGUUAAAGACGAUGACGUUGAUAGGCCGGGUGUGUAAGCGCAGCGAUGUUGAGCUAACCGGUACUAAUGAACCGUGAGGCUUAACCU
This 2874-nucleotide ribosomal RNA is filed under the name Klebsiella pneumoniae. RNAcentral's name for it is "bacterial LSU rRNA". It matches the Rfam family "Bacterial large subunit ribosomal RNA". Lineage: Bacteria; Pseudomonadati; Pseudomonadota; Gammaproteobacteria; Enterobacterales; Enterobacteriaceae. The record is from RNAcentral.